RNAcentral lists this long non-coding RNA (270 nucleotides) under Lathyrus oleraceus (garden pea). RNAcentral describes it as "Pisum sativum (pea) long non-coding RNA (PSAT_LNC012457)". The record is from RNAcentral. Lineage: Eukaryota; Viridiplantae; Streptophyta; Magnoliopsida; Fabales; Fabaceae.
UUGACAACAUAUGGACAUUCAUAGCUUGGAGUUCACUUGCCCCUGGAAUCGGGCACGAAAGACAAGACUUUCUUGAGCACAAGGUCACCUUCUCGGAACACACGAGGCUUGACCUUCUUGUUGAAUGCUUUUUCACUCUCUGCUGAUAUGACUGACCAUGACACAUGGCAGUUGAUCUCUUCCUUUCGAUCGGAUUCACUUGGUCGUAGUGACUCUGAAUCCAUUCAGCAUCAGUCAACUUGGGACUUUGAGGGUGCUAUUUCUCUUUUG